AGAGAGUGCUGCUGAUGUGCACUGCAUCAGAUGGAAAGAGAGGGACAGCGCUCCUUCCUGCAGCACUUGUGCUGGUAGCUCACUGUAGAGCUGGUGGAUUAUUCCUGAGGAUGUGUUCAAGCCCCUGUUACAAUUCCUAGUUCCACGGUUAUAACGCAAAUUGCAGACGUAAGAGAAGAUGUGUUAAGAUAUCAUCUCUAUUAUGGAUAAAAAUGAAGUUUCUACGAGUUUUCACACUCAUCAGAACGACGAGGAGAUAAUCAGGUGUUUCUCCUGCAGCUUCUAAACAACAAUUCAAUGU
This is a long non-coding RNA of Gallus gallus (chicken), 301 nucleotides long. The record is from Ensembl. Lineage: Eukaryota; Metazoa; Chordata; Aves; Galliformes; Phasianidae.